CUAAAGUGAUUUUGGAAUAUAAUAGAAAUUUGUACAGACAAGAUCCAACCUAACCUCAUUGCAACAUCGACAACAAUGUCAUUCAGAUACAAUGCUGCUGUCUCUCUUUUCAUACUUUCUAACCCUAAAUUCAUUCGUUCCUUCGUCUCAACAAGGCUAUAUUCUCAAAUAUUCCAUGAGCAAGAGAAGGACAAUCUCGUUACUUCAUUCAAUCACUUGCUGCUCCGUCACAAUCCUACCCCUUCUAUCAUUGAAUUUGGCAAGAUCUUAGGUUCACUUGUCAAGGCCAAACAUUACUCCAACGCUGUUUCUCUUCAUCGACAAUUGGAAUUGAAGACUGGAAUUCAAUCAAGCUUAGUCACUUUGAGCAUUUUGAUCAAUUGCUUUUCUCAAUUGGGUCAUAUCUCUCUUUCCUUUUCUGUUUUUGCAAACAUUCUCAAAAAGGGUUACCACCCAAAUGCCAUAACUCUCACUACACUCAUCAAGGGUCUCUGUCUCAAAGGCCACCUCCAUCAAGCAUUGCAAUUUCAUGACUACUUGGUAGCACAUGGAUAUCAUUUGAACCAAGUUAGUUAUGGAACCUUGAUAAAUGGUUUAUGCAAGGCAGGACAAGCAAGAGCUGCUCUACGGUUGCUGAGACGAGUGGAUGGAAAGAUGAUCCAGCCUAAUGUGGUAAUGUACACUACAAUUAUUGACAGCAUGUGCAAAGAUAAACUUGUUCACGAUGCAUGUGAUUUAUAUUCUGAAAUGGUUGCUAAGAGAAUUUCUCCUACUGUUGUCACUUACAAUGCUUUAAUUAGUGGAUUUUGUAUUCUUGGUAAAUUGAAAGUAGCAAUUGAUUUGUUACAUAAAAUGAUAUGGGAAAACUUAAACCCCAAUGUCUAUACCUUUAAUACAUUGGUUGAUGCAUUUUGUAAGGAAGGAAAAGUGAAAGAAGUUAAAAAUGUGCUAGCCGUGAUGAUGAAAAAUGGUGUAAAACCUGAUGUUGUUACGUAUGGAUCAUUAAUGGAUGGAUAUUGUUUAGUAAAUGAAGUGAACAGGGCUAAUAUUAUAUUUAAGACUAUGACCCAAAGGGGAAUUACUCCUGAUGUUUUUAGCUACAGUAUCUUGAUCAAAGGAUUUUGUAAGAUUAAAAUGGUAGACAAAGCUAUAAGUCUCUUCAAAGAAAUGCAUUGUAGAAAUAUCAUUCCUAAUACAAUAACUUAUAGUUCCCUUAUUGAUGGCUUGUGCAAAUUGGGGAGAAUCUCGUAUGCUUUGGAGCUUGUCGAUGAGAUGUGUGAUAGAGGUCAACUACCUGAUAUAAUUACGUACACUUCUAUAUUGGGUGCUUUAUGCAAAAACCAUCAAGUUGAUAAGGCAAUUGCAUUGUUAAGAAAAUUUAAAGAUACGGGUAUUCAACCAGACACAUACAUGUAUAAUAUUCUUAUCGAUGGAUUGUGUAAAGUUGGAAGACUAGAAGAUGCACAAGAGGUUUUUGAAGAUCUUUUGGCCAAAGGCUACAAACUUGAUGUCUAUACAUAUACCAUUAUGAUCCAAGGAUUUUGUAACAAAGGCUUGUUUGAUGAAGCAUUGACCAUGCUAUCAAAAAUGAAAGACAGGAGUUGCAUUCCAAACGCCAUAACUUACGAAAUAAUUAUCCGUUCCCUUUUUGAUAAAGACGAAAAUGAUACAGCGGAGAAUCUUCUUCGUGAAAUGAUUGCAAGAGGUCUAUUGUAAGAUUGAAACUACGUAAGAUAUUUGUCUUUGUUGUACAUUAUUAUUUUGAAUUUAUGUUUCAAUACUGUUUCAUCAUUUAAUGUUAUGUAGUUGCUUCACCUAAUGGAAAAAAAGGCUUUUGAUCCCUUAAAGGGGGUACAUGUUGAAGUGCACAUAAUUUUGAUUCGCAUUUGUAAAACAUGUUGAAUAUAAAUGGAGGAACCUCACUUCUUAAACAUGUUGAAGAAUAAGGUCGGAGGGAGUAUAGUUGGCAGUAGAUAUGUUCAGCAUAUUCAGAGGCUUCUAGAAUUGGAUUGAGAGAAGUUUUUAAUGGAGCAAAAGUAACGCUUCUGUCUCAAUAUGCCUUUUAUGGAGUUAUUUGUACGCUGGAGUUAGAAAGUUUUUUUUUUUUUUUUCCAUUUUUUGCACUUGCUUUUGUAUGGUGUUUUUUGUACGCUGGAAUUAUUAAUGAUUGUUGUAAUGUGGUUUGUCGAUAUGAUUUUUAUUACAUGAACUGGAUUAUCCCCUUGGUUUGGAUCAUAAGCUUGUUGGUCGAAGACUUGAAUCUAUCCAUUUCAUCCCAACCUUGGUAUAUGAAAGAAUGUUCACAAGAAAGGUAAGAUGAGAAUGACUUAAGUUGUUUUUGUGGCUACAUUACUUUACUUUCUAAUGAGUAACUAAGGCCUCAUUACAGCUGCAAAAUCUACUCAAAUAUGCAUUAAAGACAAGUAUUGAGAACUGGAUCGGUCUGCAAAUUGUUUGGUCCCUACGCUUAGAAUUUAGAACUUGAAUGCUAUGUAGGAAGCAUGAUUCUAUUUUCUACAUAAUUGCUUUUGCUGCAGUUUUGGAUGAGAUGUCUUAAAUUUUGGUAUAUGCUUGGAAAUAAAGUUUUGUAAGAUUUUAGGAUAAAUUGACUCUGCAUUUACUCACAUGUAGUUGCAGAUAGAAUCAUUUCGUAAAGCUCUAGGACUCUAUAUGUCUUUUGCUGAUCAGGCAAGCACAACUUACCUAUCCAUAUACUUGGUGUUCAAAUGUGAUACUUCAUGAGUUUCAUAACUUCUAUUGUUGUUGAAUAUCUCACUUCAUGUUAUGAUAGAACAAGGAUUGCUUUACGGUAGGCAAGUGCCAAGUAUAGUGGGGAGGUUUCAGCAUGCUUGUUCUUAAUGCUGCUAAGUAUAGUUGGGAGGUUUCAGCAUGCUUGUUCUUAAUGCUUAUCGCCAAAUCCUAUUGACAUAUGUACUAUAUUGUGCUGUGAUUAGAAACUAAACAAUAUAGAUUGUCCAAACUAAUUUUAUGAUCGUAAAUAAGUUUAUGAUCGUAAAUAAGUUUCAAGGAUCACUUUGAUUUGUACUAGUAUUCAAUUUUAAGACCAAUUUGAAUUAUUUGCCUACAUAAGGUGAUGUCUAGAAUAAAUGACCACCAAUUAAUAACUUUAUGGGUGUUUGUCAAUUUCCGAGUAACUAUAACAUUGUUUAUGACUUGAUAGUUUUGUUGAUCUUCACUUUGAUGUAGUGUCUUUUAUUUUGUUCUAUUUUAUAUUAUUUUAAAGUGAAAAUGGAAACAUGUUUGUCUUAUUGUGCUUGAAUUAUUUUUUCACCUGUUUAUUAGAGGUAGGUAACUAUUGAUUCUUUUUUCAUUACUUCAUAAAUCAUGUGAUAAUAAGAGUGUCAACAUCUGGAAGCAGUUCUACACAUUCUACGGCAGCCUAUCCUGCAGAAAGUGUAAUUGUAUGUGCAUGAAUGUUAAGGAUGGGAAUGUAAAAUAAUCAUUCAUCUCAGAAUGACACAACUAUAUAUGGAGGACAAGGGCAUCGGAGUACAUGCUCUAGAAUCGGUGAAUCCAAACUUAUAUUCAAUAGGACAAGGGCAUCGGAGUACAUGUUCUAGAAUCGGUGAAUUCAAACUUAUAUUCAAUGAAUUUUCACGUUCAACAAAUCAUCUCCUGCAACACUCUCUAAUACCAUUUGAGUAACUAGAUUUUGGGGCUUCAACUCAUCCUAAAAUCUUACAAAACUUUAUUUCCAAGUUCAUACAUUUUCUAUAAACAAUUUAUUACCAAAACAAGCAAUUAUGUAGAAAAUAGAACUGUGUUCCCUACAAAGCAUUCAUGUUCUAAACUCUAACCUUUGUUCCUAGUUCGCAAUACUUUUCUUUAACACAUAUUUGAGUAGACUGUGCACCUGUAAUGCAACCUAAGUAACUCAUCUCACAGUAGCUUAAUUUAGCCACAAGAACACAUAAAGUCAUUCUUUUCUUACUUCACUCAAGUGUCUAGCUUAUACCUGUACCUUAGCAACUUAGCCUUAAGUUUAACUAACAUUCUGAAACUGUUAAGCUUCGCAAGAUCAAAAUACUAUGCAGAAGAACAAGUAUAACUUAGAUAUAAUAAAUGAAAAGAUAUCUGUUCUGUCUCGAUUCAAUUUAGUAGCCCUAAGACCAAAU
Vicia villosa (hairy vetch) is the source of this 4136-nucleotide RNA transcript. It is a transcript of the gene named putative pentatricopeptide repeat-containing protein At1g12700, mitochondrial, with no coding region annotated. NCBI's taxonomy places the organism in Eukaryota, Viridiplantae, Streptophyta, Magnoliopsida, Fabales, Fabaceae. The record is from RefSeq and is a predicted model, not a curated record. The transcript is spliced from 2 exons.